AACCUCGUGGCCUAGUGGCUAUCGCUCUUGACUUGGAAAUUUUCAAUGCGGGUUCAAUUCCCACUGGGGUCA
This is a non-coding RNA of Caenorhabditis brenneri, 72 nucleotides long. NCBI's taxonomy places the organism in Eukaryota, Metazoa, Nematoda, Chromadorea, Rhabditida, Rhabditidae. The record is from the annotation of a GenBank genome assembly.